AGUCGAACGGAGAUUUUAUUUCGGUAAAAUCUUAGUGGCGAACGGGUGAGUAACGCGUAGGCAACCUGCCCCACAGCCGGGGACAACUUCCCGAAAGGGAAGCUAAUACCGGAUACGAACCGGGCAUCGCAUGAUGCCGGGUUGAAAGAUGGCCUCUAUUUAUACGCUAUCGCUGUGGGACGGGCCUGCGUCCGAUUAGCUGGUUGGUGAGGUAACGGCUCACCAAGGCGACGAUCGGUAGCCGGUCUGAGAGGAUGAACGGCCACAUUGGGACUGAGACACGGCCCAGACUCCUACGGGAGGCAGCAGUGGGGAAUCUUCCGCAAUGGACGCAAGUCUGACGGAGCAACGCCGCGUGAGGGAGGAAGUUUUUCGGAACGUAAACCUCUGUUGUUCAUGACGAACGAGCUUUUUAUCAACAACGAAGAGCAGUGACGGUAGUGAACGAGGAAGCCACGGCUAACUACGUGCCAGCAGCCGCGGUAAUACGUAGGUGGCAAGCGUUGUCCGGAAUUAUUGGGCGUAAAGCGCAUGUAGGCGGUUUGGUAAGUCGGUCGUGAAAAUGCGGUGCUUAACGCCGUAUGGCGAUCGAAACUGCGGAACUUGAGUGCAGGAGAGGAAAGGGGAACUCCCAGUGUAGCGGUGAAAUGCGUAGAUAUUGGGAAGAACACCGGUGGCGAAGGCGCCUUUCUGGACUGUGUCUGACGCUCAGAUGCGAAAGCCAGGGUAGCGAA
RNAcentral lists this ribosomal RNA (734 nucleotides) under uncultured bacterium. RNAcentral describes it as "bacterial SSU rRNA". It matches the Rfam family "Bacterial small subunit ribosomal RNA", at positions 60 to 772 of the family's 1533-position model. The record is from RNAcentral.